GACGAACGCUGGCGGCGUGCUUAACACAUGCAAGUCGAACGAGAGCGACCGGUGCUUGCUGGGGUCAAUCUAGUGGCGAACGGGUGAGUAACACGUGGGUAACCUGCCCAUCAGAGGGGGAUAACAUUCGGAAACGGAUGCUAAAACCGCAUAGGUCCUUUAACCGCAUGGUUGAAGGAGGAGAAGAGGCGCAAGCUUCUGCUGAUGGAUGGACCCGCGGUGCAUUAGCUAGUUGGUGAGGUAACGGCUCACCAAGGCCGUGAUGCAUAGCCGACCUGAGAGGGUGAUCGGCCACAUUGGGACUGAGACACGGCCCAAACUCCUACGGGAGGCAGCAGUAGGGAAUCUUCCGCAAUGGACGCAAGUCUGACGGAGCAACGCCGCGUGAGUGAAGAAGGUUUUCGGAUCGUAAAACUCUGUUGUUAGAGAAGAACAAGUGCUAGAGUAACUGUUAGCGCCUUGACGGUAUCUAACCAGAAAGCCACGGCUAACUACGUGCCAGCAGCCGCGGUAAUACGUAGGUGGCAAGCGUUGUCCGGAUUUAUUGGGCGUAAAGCGAGUGCAGGCGGUUCCUUAAGUCUGAUGUGAAAGCCCCCGGCUCAACCGGGGAGGGUCAUUGGAAACUGGGGAACUUGAGUGCAGAAGAGGAGAGUGGAAUUCCAUGUGUAGCGGUGAAAUGCGUAGAUAUAUGGAGGAACACCAGUGGCGAAAGCGACUCUCUGGUCUGUAACUGACGCUGAGGCUCGAAAGCGUGGGUAGAGCACACGAUAUUAUACCCUCGUGAACCCCGCGCCAUACAAUGAGUGCUCUAUGUGGGAGUUUCCCUCCCCUUCAUCGCUGCCGUUACUAAAUUAUUCACUCCCCCUGCUGAGUACUACCGCCGCGUUGAUACUCCUCGGAAUUGUUGACGACCCCCCCCACCGGCGGCAGCAUCGUGUUUAUUUCUUCGAUGCGCGACGAACCUUCUUACCUCUUGUCGUCCUUUCACCACUCUCGACAUAGAUCUUUCCUUUCUUGUGACCUUGUGACAGGUGGUGCAUGGUUGUCGUCAGCUCGUGUCGUGAGAUGUUGGGUUAAGUCCCGCAACGAGCGCAACCCUUAUUCUUAGUUGCCCGCAUUGAUGUUGGGCACUCUCGUGAGAUGCUGGCGACAUACACUCAGAAGGAGGUGAUGACGACNAAUCAUCUUGCUCCUUCUUACGUGAGCUACACCCAUGCUACUAUUGUAGGGCUACACGAGCGCCGCCUCUCGAGGGGAACACCUCUCCUCAAAUCCCUCUCCUUAUAGAGAUAGCGUGCAGCCCCCCCACACCAGGACGGAAUCCUUUUAAUUAUCGAACACCACGCCCCCGUAAAUACUUUCUCUGGGCU
RNAcentral lists this ribosomal RNA (1370 nucleotides) under uncultured bacterium. RNAcentral's name for it is "partial 16S ribosomal RNA". It matches the Rfam family "Bacterial small subunit ribosomal RNA", at positions 28 to 1381 of the family's 1533-position model. The record is from RNAcentral.